AGAGAGUAUUUUUGUUGCUUACAACCUAAUUAUUAGUUUCAAGUUUCCAGUCUUGAAAUGUGUACAUUUAGAUAUUGCUUUUAAAAUGUAGAUGUUUGAUAUAUUAUAUGAUAAUGGUGUUCCAUUUGUAUUAAAUAAUCGAUCGUUUGAUAACUUCUUGAUGCUGCAAAAUAAAGAGUUUAGACAGACUAUGAUUGACUAAGCAAUUUUUAAGGAAUGAACUGCAAU
RNAcentral lists this long non-coding RNA (228 nucleotides) under Brassica napus (rape). RNAcentral describes it as "long non-coding RNA (BNAP_LNC013340)". Lineage: Eukaryota; Viridiplantae; Streptophyta; Magnoliopsida; Brassicales; Brassicaceae. The record is from RNAcentral.